This 355-nucleotide unclassified non-coding RNA is filed under the name soil metagenome. RNAcentral's name for it is "partial contains 5.8S ribosomal RNA, internal transcribed spacer 2, and large subunit ribosomal RNA". The stretch from base 1 to 120 matches the Rfam family "5.8S ribosomal RNA", at positions 35 to 154 of the family's 154-position model. The record is from RNAcentral.
GAUGAAGAACGUAGCGAAAUGCGAUAAGUAGUGUGAAUUGCAGAAUUCAGUGAAUCAUCGAAUCUUUGAACGCACAUUGCGCCUUCUAGUAUUCUGGGAGGCAUGCCUGUUUGAGCGUCAUUAAACCUCUCUCAAGUAUGAUUACUUGGAUGUGAAGGAAGAGUACCUUAAACUUAAGGAGUGUUCUCCUUUGAAAUUGAUUAGCAGAUGGUAAUGUUGUUAAAUCCCUGAUGUUGUAAGAAAUAACAGUGGUUUUGUAGACUAUUAUCUAGCUUUAAAUUAUAAUUUUUAUUAUGGUUGACCUCAAAUCAGGUAAGGAUACCCGCUGAACUUAAGCAUAUCAAUAAGCGGAGGA